Molecule: ribosomal RNA, 459 nt
Filed under: uncultured bacterium
Lineage: Bacteria
Description: partial 16S ribosomal RNA
Rfam family: Bacterial small subunit ribosomal RNA
Source: RNAcentral
CCUACGGGAGACAGCAGUGAGGAAUAUUGGUCAAUGGGCGUAAGUCUGAACCAGCCAAGCCGCGUGAGGGAUGAAGGCUCUAUGGAUCGUAAACCUCUUUUAUACGGGAAUAAAGCGCGGGACGUGUCUUGUGUUGUAUGUACUUUAUGAAUAAGGAUCGGCUAACUCCGUGCCAGCAGCCGCGGUAAUACGGAGGAUCCGAGCGUUAUCCGGAUUUAUUGGGUUUAAAGGGUGCGUAGGCGGCCUUUUAAGUUAGCGGUAAAAGCCCGGGGCUAAACCCCGGCGAGCCGUUAAAACUGGCUGUCUUGAGAUGUCGAGAGGUAUGCGGAAUGCGCAGUGUAGCGGUGAAAUGCUUAGAGAUUACACAGAACUCCGAUUGCGAAGGCAGCAUACCGGCGGCGAUCUGACGCUGAGGCACGAAAGCGUGGGUAUCGAACAGGAUUAGAUACCCUAGUAGUC